RNAcentral lists this ribosomal RNA (497 nucleotides) under uncultured bacterium. RNAcentral describes it as "partial 16S ribosomal RNA". It matches the Rfam family "Bacterial small subunit ribosomal RNA", at positions 28 to 507 of the family's 1533-position model. The record is from RNAcentral.
GAUGAACGCUGGCGGCGUGCCUAAUACAUGCAAGUCGAGCGAACAGACGAGGAGCUUGCUCCUCUGACGUUAGCGGCGGACGGGUGAGUAACACGUGGAUAACCUACCUAUAAGACUGGGAUAACUUCGGGAAACCGGAGCUAAUACCGGAUAACAUGUUGAACCGCAUGGUUCAACAGUGAAAGACGGUCUUGCUGUCACUUAUAGAUGGAUCCGCGCCGCAUUAGCUAGUUGGUAAGGUAACGGCUUACCAAGGCAACGAUGCGUAGCCGACCUGAGAGGGUGAUCGGCCACACUGGAACUGAGACACGGUCCAGACUCCUACGGGAGGCAGCAGUAGGGAAUCUUCCGCAAUGGGCGAAAGCCUGACGGAGCAACGCCGCGUGAGUGAAGAAGGUCUUCGGAUCGUAAAACUCUGUUAUUAGGGAGGAACAAAUGUGUAAGUAACUAUGCACGUCUUGACGGUACCUAAUCAGAAAGCCACGGCUAACUACGUG